ACAGGCGAGGGCAAGCGGAGGGGCGAUUUCAUGAACUCAGCCCUGAUUUCGAGGUCUGCAUCCCGCAGCUCGUCUUCCUCCCGGGGCUUGGGGCGCUGCCAAGGCGGGCCAGGCCAGCGAUGCUGAUGGAUUGGAGCCGCGGCGGGCGAGGCUGGAAGGGAAGCUCUCGCCAACCCUGCCCGGGCGCGGCCUGCGCCCUCCGCGGUGCCAGGAAACAGGGGAUCCAGGCAGACGCUGCUGUUUGCCACCGGCACCCACUGAAGGACGAGGAGGAGGGGAGCCUCACAGAAGCACAAGCAGGACCUUUCACAGCCACCUUCCUGGGCACAGCACCCGACUGCGGAGGCCUGUCCGCGUGGCCGCUGUGGGCCCUCGGAGGUUUGGGUGUUUUCCUGCCUUUCCUGCUCCCAGCCCGGUCCUCAGCGGGGAUACACUGGUCUCUCUUGCAACCUUGGGUAACAUGAGCUUACAGAAUCCUUAUCUAUGUAUUUUUUUUCCCUUUAAUUCCCAUUCAAUUAUACCAAAACUAUUAGUCUUUAAAUUGCAAAACAGAUAAGCAACAAAAAAAAAAAAAAAAAAAAAGGAAAAAAAAAGCAAGCAAGCCCUUUUUCAAAAUGUCCUCUGAUACGAUCUUGAUCAAGUUACUCAAUUAUAAAAUGUGCAUAAAGCUCCGGGCCUCCCAGGACCCUUGUUAAGGCUCCACUGAGACGACAGAUAGACGUGCAAACGCUUAAAAGCGGCUGAAGACGCGUCAACUCUCUUCUCUUCCUCUCUCUGAAUUGAGACAGUCCUAGGAUUUAGAGAAAACCCACAUCAGUGGUGGGCACUGAUGGGCACUGGUGGGCACUCUAUGAGCAUAUGUCCGUAAACUUUAGUUUUCUCGGGGAAAUCAUUCCAAUUAAGCUAAAGAUCAGCCCGCUGCCAGCAGGCCUCCAUGGGGCUUUAUGGGCACGAGAGUUCCCCGCACGAAACACUCGGGGGACACCGCGUGGCGCUAGGGGUGCAGCUGGCCCUAAGCACCGUGAGCGUGAGCCGUGGGGGCCUAUUUCACAGCCUCUUCCCUUAGCAGGAGAAGGGAUGACAUUCUGUGGGCCUCGCCUCCCCGGAGAUUAGAAACCAAGCCCCAGAGGCGGCCGGCAGCUGAGGAAUAGGCUCUUCCCCGCUGAGGAGAGGGAGGCCCAAGGCCCGUGGAAAGCCUCCGUCCUCACGAGGUGGGUCUCCAUCCCGUGUGGGAUGUUCACGGGGCACUUGGCCUAAAGUCCUAUCAAGAGGAGCAAAGCAACACUAUUAGGGGGCAUUUCAGAAGCACGCGGGGUACGCGCUAACUCUCAAGAACCUCAGCCGCAGUCGGCGGGAGGAGGAACCCCACGAAGCCGAAAGCAGUGUUCUGGGCCCGGGAGGCCGCUGUGGUCGAGAGAGCUCAGCCGCCCAGGUCCCCGGAGGCAGACGUGGGAUCAGGGCCUGAACCACGUGCGUCCCCGUUCUGCCGUUGGCUCGCUCGGUGACCUCGGCCCCACGGCCUCCGUCUGCGCGGUGCGGGGGUGAGCAGGUGUUCUCUAGGGGCUCACCCGCCUCUCACAUUUUCAAAACCUAGAUUCUGAAAGGAAAAGGAAGUAGAAACAGGAAGAAGACGCCUAUGAGAAUUCCAAGAGCGAGACCACUCAAAACUGCAAAGCUGGGGACACAUGUAGGACAACGGAGCAGGGCCGGAGACCAUCCUGUGCUCAGCACCUACCCUGCGACACCUGCGGGGGAUCCGGACGCCACCACGAGGGAAAGCCUUCCAAUGACCAACCACAGAACUGCAGACGAGUGACCCCGUUCCCGUCUACGCCGACUUAGAAAGGAAGUUCUCUCCUGGGAAGAGCACAUUGCGUGGUUUGGGGUAUACCAUGGACACUUCUCAUUUUAUGUUCUGUCUUUCCUUUUUGGAGGACGUCGUGGGCCGUGGAAUGUAGCGGAGUUUCCGUGUCUGCAGGGGGCCCACCUCCAGCCCCACCACACAAGGGGUGGCGCGCUCAGGUAUGAAGGCCCUGUGCUCUACGUGCCUCAGCAGGUUGGGUCUCGCGGCAGCAGAGAUGACGUAUUUGUCCUAAUCGAGUGCGUCAACAGCAGAUAAAAUACAUACAAAAACCGUGGUUUCUGGAGAGAAAGACAUGUAUUUUUUCUUUUUUUUUUUUCUUUUUUUUAAAUACAUUUAUUUUUUAUUGGUGUUCAAUUUCUCAACCUAUAGAAGAACACCCAGGGCUCAUGUAGUUUUUUCCACGCUGAACAGCCGCUGGGGUAAUUCGGGAAUACCGAGAGCGAAGAGUCAAUCACCUCGAGAAAAGAUUGGCGCUUCUUAUCGGCUUGACACAAAAUACUGACAAACAUAAAGAUUACGGAAAGUUAUAAUAAUGUCCCACUGGAGAGGAAAUAGUGAACUCGUUCAAAUGUCGUCAGCUCAUUGUCCCUACAUGAGAAAGGGUAUAAUGUCCUGAAACCCUACUGCUCGUACGCGGCACAGACUUAACAGCACUCUUCCAAAAUUUGACAACGGUCCUAAACGUGUAUAUGGAAUGACCAAUAAAAGGCUGUAAGCCUGAAAUAAACUUUCCCAAACUACCAAUAAUAAAAACCACAUUUCUAUUCACCGCCCUGGAGGAAAGACUGAAUCCUCUUUUGCUUCUCUCUCAGGAAAAUAAAGCACAAAAGCACCGUCAUAUAAAAAGGAAUCAAAGUGUAGGCAAGCAGAGAGGGGAGAAAAAAAAAAUACAGAAACUUGACAGGUAGCGAUCUAAGGAAAGCAUUAGGAUGUUUUUCUGAAUUUUGUAAUGUUUGUAUUAUUUAGCAGCCUUUCUUAAAUUCGUGAUUUGUUAUGAUUUUCGUUAUUCUAAGUAAAUGUCGGUUUUAUAUCUAAA
Molecule: long non-coding RNA, 2900 nt
Organism: Canis lupus familiaris (dog)
Lineage: Eukaryota; Metazoa; Chordata; Mammalia; Carnivora; Canidae
Exons: 2
Source: RefSeq, a predicted model, not a curated record